UGUGCCAGCAGCCGCGGUAACUCCAGCUCCAAUAGCGUAUAUUAAAGUUGUUGCGGUUAAAAAGCUCGUAGUUGGAUUUCUGUCUUCGGCCGGGCGGUGCCGCCUGAUAAUCAAGGGCGCGCACUGCUUUGGGAGCGUCGGUGUCAAAGCCGCGCUCUUUUAACGGUCGGACAAUACCACCGGAGUGGCGGACGGAGGGGUGUCGAGCUCUCGGGCUUUUCGCUCCUCUCCCGCCCGUAAUCGUCCGAGGUGCUCUUAACCGAGUGUCUCGGGCGGCCGGUAACGUUUACUUUGAACAAAUUAGAGUGCUCAAAGCAGGUGCUUAUCGCCUGAAUAUCACAGCAUGGAAUGAUGGAAUAGGACCUCGGUCUUAUUUUGUUGGUUUUCUCUAGACCCGAGGUAAUGGUUAAUAGAGACAGACGGGGGCAUUCGUACUGCGGCGCUAGAGGUGAAAUUCUUGGACCGCCGCAAGACGAACAACUGCGAAAGCAUUUGCCAAGAAUGUUUUCAUUAAUCAAGAACGAAAGUUAGAGGUUCGAAGGCGAUCAGAUACCGCCCUAGUUCUAACCAUAAACGAUGCCAACCAGCGAUCCGCCGAAGUUACUCCCAUGACUCGGCGGGCAGCUUCCGGGAAACCAAAGUCUUUGGGUUCCGGGGGAAGUAUGGUUGCAAAGCUGAAACUUAAAGGAAUUGACGGAAGGGCACCACCAGGAGUGGAGCCUGCGGCUUAAUUUGACUCAACACGGGAAACCUCACCAGGCCCGGACACUGGAAGGAUUGACAGAUUGAGAGCUCUUUCUUGAUUCGGUGGGUGGUGGUGCAUGGCCGUUCUUAGUUGGUGGAGCGAUUUGUCUGGUUAAUUCCGAUAACGAACGAGACUCUAGCCUGCUAAAUAGGUGGCGGGUUUUAUCAUUGAAAAAUUUUGGGUUCGAAGUUCGCCGGGAAUCUGGCUGGCUUCGCCCGGGCGUCCCGGCUUCGUAUUCGGCGGGUUUCGGCUCGUCGGGUGCGGGGUUGAAGGCGUUCGAGUGUUGUCGGUCCCCCGGCGGUCGGCUUCGUUCUCGCGUCCGUCACAACUCUUCUUAGAGGGACAAGCGGCGUCCAGCCGCGUGACAGUGAGCAAUAACAGGUCUGU
This 1132-nucleotide ribosomal RNA is filed under the name uncultured eukaryote. Its description in RNAcentral is "bacterial SSU rRNA". It matches the Rfam family "Eukaryotic small subunit ribosomal RNA", at positions 563 to 1465 of the family's 1831-position model. The record is from RNAcentral.